GGAGGACUGGCCGAGCGGUCGAAGGCGGGUGACUUGAAAUCACUUAGGGCGACGAGCCCUCGGGGGUUCGAAUCCCUCGUCCUCCGCCA
Molecule: transfer RNA, 89 nt
Filed under: Synergistales bacterium
Lineage: Bacteria; Thermotogati; Synergistota; Synergistia; Synergistales
Also listed under: 1 other name
Description: tRNA-Ser
Rfam family: tRNA
About the family: Transfer RNA (tRNA) molecules are approximately 80 nucleotides in length. Their secondary structure includes four short double-helical elements and three loops (D, anti-codon, and T loops).
Source: RNAcentral